Molecule: small RNA, 80 nt
Filed under: Paenibacillus sp. P22
Lineage: Bacteria; Bacillati; Bacillota; Bacilli; Caryophanales; Paenibacillaceae
Description: Termite-leu RNA
Source: RNAcentral
ACCAUCCGGCAGCGCGGCGGCGCUGCCGGGAUUCAAUUCCAGCAGAAGCUGUUCGUAUAAGGCGUUCAUAUAAGCAUAGG